AUGUCUAAGCGAAGAAGGCAGGGCGAGGAGGAUGAGCCCAACAACUACCACGACCGCUGCGGCAACAAGGAGAAGAGCCUCUAUCUGGUUCUAGACGACUGGCACAAGGGCUUCACCAUCCGCAAGAUUGAUGCCGACAGUCCCGACCUCAGCGCCCCCCUGUCCUCUGGCUAG
This 174-nucleotide ribosomal RNA is filed under the name Triticum aestivum (bread wheat). RNAcentral describes it as "partial small subunit ribosomal RNA". The record is from RNAcentral. Lineage: Eukaryota; Viridiplantae; Streptophyta; Magnoliopsida; Poales; Poaceae.